UGACGCAGCGACGCCGCGUGAGGGAUGAAGCUUCUCGGAGUGUAAACCUCUUUCGACCCGGACGAGGGCCCGCAAGGGUUGACGGUACGGGGGGAAGAAGCCCCGGCUAACUACGUGCCAGCAGCCGCGGUAAAACGUAGGGGGCCAGCGUUGCUCGGAAUUACUGGGCGUAACGGGUCUGUAGGCGGUGCGGUAAGUCCGGAGUGAAAUCUCCAGGCUCAACUUGGAGGCUGCUUUGGAAACUGCCGUGCUCGAGUGCGGGAGAGGCGCGCGGAAUUGCAGGUGUAGCGGUGAAAUGCGUAGAUAUCUGCAGGAACACCAGUGGCGAAGGCGGCGCGCUGGACCGCAACUGACGCUGAGAGACGAAAGCUAGGGGAGCAAACAGGAUUAGAUACCCUGGUAGUCCUAGCCCUAAACGAUCAGGACUUGACGUGGGCCCCGUCCGGGGUCCGUGCCGUAGCCAACGCGAUAAGUCCUGCGCCUGGGGAGUACGGUCGCAAGGCUG
This 505-nucleotide ribosomal RNA is filed under the name uncultured bacterium. Its description in RNAcentral is "bacterial SSU rRNA". It matches the Rfam family "Bacterial small subunit ribosomal RNA", at positions 384 to 896 of the family's 1533-position model. The record is from RNAcentral.